This 653-nucleotide long non-coding RNA is filed under the name Homo sapiens (human). RNAcentral describes it as "uncharacterized LOC105377502 (LOC105377502)". The record is from RNAcentral. Lineage: Eukaryota; Metazoa; Chordata; Mammalia; Primates; Hominidae.
CUACCAGUAGUUCUCUACUAGGUUUACAAGAACUGAUCCAGCAAUGGAAUACAAAUGCACUAGUGAUCCCAGCCAAGAUACCAGAACCUGACCAAGACAAUGUUUUGCUGCUGUUAUCCAGAAUUAACCUUUGAUUUUGAGGAGUGACUUUAAAGUUUGGCAGAAAAGAAGCAGAGUCAAGGACCAGGAAUUGCUUCAGUAAAGUUGCAAGAUACCAAAUCAACCUACAAAAAUGAAUAGCAUUUCUAUAUCAUAGAAAUGAAACAGCUGAAACAAGAGAGCAAUCCCAUUUACAAUAGCUACAAAAAAAAGGGAUCAAUUUCACCAAGGAGAUAAAAAAUCUCUAUAAGGUAAAAACCAUAAAACACUGAUGAAAGAAGUUGAAAAGGACACAAAUGGAAUGUCAUCCCAUGCUCAUGAAGUGGAAGAAUUAAUAUGAUUAAAAUAAACAUACUUCCCAAAGCAAUCUACAUAUUCAAUUCAGUCUAUACCAAAAUAACAAAUGUCAUUUUUCACAGAAAUAGAAAAAAAAUCCUAAAAUUUGUAUGGAACCAAAAAAGAUCCUGAAUAGUCAAAUUCUGAGCAAACAGGGCAAUGCUGGAGGUAUUACACUAACUGAAUGCAAAAUACAUUUUCAUUGUAAGACUAUAAUA